UAGAGUUUGAUCCUGGCUCAGGAUGAACGCUAGCGACAGGCCUAACACAUGCAAGUCGAGGGGCAUCGGGGCGAGGAGCAAUCCUUGCCGCCGGCGACCGGCGCACGGGUGAGUAACGCGUAUGCGACCUGCCCGUUGCAGGGGGAUAAUCGGGAGAAAUCCCGUCUAAUACCGCGUAACGCCGCGGGGCUGCAUGGCCCUGCGGCCAAAGGAAGCGAUUCCGGCAACGGAUGGGCAUGCGUGACAUUAGCUAGUUGGCGGGGCAACGGCCCACCAAGGCGACGAUGUCUAGGGGUUCUGAGAGGAAGGUCCCCCACACUGGUACUGAGACACGGACCAGACUCCUACGGGAGGCAGCAGUGAGGAAUAUUGGUCAAUGGGCGCGAGCCUGAACCAGCCAAGUCGCGCGAGGGAUGACGGCCCUACGGGUUGUAAACCUCUUUUGUCGGGGAGCAAAUUCCGCCACGUGUGGCGGAGUCGAGAGUACCCGAAGAAAAAGCAUCGGCUAACUACGUGCCAGCAGCCGCGGUAAUACGUAGGGGGCAAGCGUUAUCCGGAAUUACUGGGUGUAAAGGGAGCGUAGACGGUAAUGCAAGUCUGGAGUGAAAGGCGGGGGCCCAACCCCCGGACUGCUCUGGAAACUGUGUAACUGGAGUGCAGGAGAGGCAGGCGGAAUUCCUAGUGUAGCGGUGAAAUGCGUAGAUAUUAGGAGGAACACCAGUGGCGAAGGCGGCUUACUGGACUGUAACUGACGUUGAGGCUCGAAAGCGUGGGGAGCAAACAGGAUUAGAUACCCUGGU
This 800-nucleotide ribosomal RNA is filed under the name uncultured bacterium. Its description in RNAcentral is "bacterial SSU rRNA". It matches the Rfam family "Bacterial small subunit ribosomal RNA", at positions 1 to 791 of the family's 1533-position model. The record is from RNAcentral.